UGGAAAGAUUAUUGUAUUCGAUUGUAUUCACAGCAUGAAACAGGGGAUUAUACUAUUUUAAAUGGAAAGUGAAUCAAUUAACAUAAUAAACUCCU
This is a non-coding RNA of Nicotiana tabacum (common tobacco), 95 nucleotides long. NCBI's taxonomy places the organism in Eukaryota, Viridiplantae, Streptophyta, Magnoliopsida, Solanales, Solanaceae. The record is from Rfam.